UCAAGUGCUUGGGUCAACACCUGGAGU
This 27-nucleotide non-coding RNA is filed under the name Mus musculus (house mouse). The record is from RNAcentral. Lineage: Eukaryota; Metazoa; Chordata; Mammalia; Rodentia; Muridae.